GCCAGGCAUAGUGGCUUAUGCCUGUAGUCCCAGCACUUUGGGAGGCCGAGGUGGGAGGAUCACUUGAGCCUAGGAGUUCAAAACCAGCCUAGGCAACAUGGUGGGACCCCAUCUCUA
This 117-nucleotide non-coding RNA is filed under the name Nomascus leucogenys (northern white-cheeked gibbon). Lineage: Eukaryota; Metazoa; Chordata; Mammalia; Primates; Hylobatidae. The record is from Rfam by way of RNAcentral.